UUUCCGUAGGUGAACCCGCGGAAGGAUCAUUACAGAGUUCAUGCCCUCACGGGUAGAUCUCCCACCCUUGAAUAUUUAUACCUUAGUUGCUUUGGCAGGCCGUGGAAACACCAUGGGCUCCGGCUUAUGCGUGCCUGCCAGAGGAAACAAACUCUGUUUUUAGUGAUGUCUGAGUACUAUAUAAUAGUUAAAACUUUCAACAACGGAUCUCUUGGUUCUG
This 220-nucleotide unclassified non-coding RNA is filed under the name plant metagenome. RNAcentral's name for it is "partial contains small subunit ribosomal RNA, internal transcribed spacer 1, and 5.8S ribosomal RNA". The record is from RNAcentral.